GCUUCAAGAGCUCAGUUGGUUAGAAGGUGGUGCUGAUAACACCAAGGUUGCAGGUUCGAUCCCUGUAUUGGACAACUGCA
Molecule: transfer RNA, 80 nt
Filed under: Podarcis lilfordi (Lilford's wall lizard)
Lineage: Eukaryota; Metazoa; Chordata; Lepidosauria; Squamata; Lacertidae
Description: tRNA.Ile
Rfam family: tRNA (bases 10-74)
About the family: Transfer RNA (tRNA) molecules are approximately 80 nucleotides in length. Their secondary structure includes four short double-helical elements and three loops (D, anti-codon, and T loops).
Source: RNAcentral